This 253-nucleotide ribosomal RNA is filed under the name uncultured bacterium. Its description in RNAcentral is "partial 16S ribosomal RNA". It matches the Rfam family "Bacterial small subunit ribosomal RNA", at positions 524 to 776 of the family's 1533-position model. The record is from RNAcentral.
UACGGAGGGUGCAAGCGUUGUCCGGAAUCACUGGGCGUAAAGGGCGCGUAGGCGGCCUGGUAAGUAGGGGGUGAAAUCCUGCGGCUUAACCGCAGGGCUGCCUUCUAAACUGUCAGGCUUGGGCACGGUAGAGGCAGAUGGAAUUCCCGGUGUAGCGGUGGAAUGCGUAGAGAUCGGGAAGAACAUCAGUGGCGAAGGCGGUCUGCUGGGCCGUUGCUGACGCUGAGGCGCGACAGCGUGGGGAGCAAACAGG